CAAUAGCGUAUAUUAAAGUUGUUGCAGUUAAAAAGCUCGUAGUUGGAUUUCGGGACGGGCCAGUUGGUCCGCCGCAAGGUGUGUUACUGACUGGUCUGUUCUUCUUCGCAAAGACUGCGUGUGCUCUUCGUUGAGUGUGCGUAGGAUUUACGACGUUUACUUUGAAAAAAUUAGAGUGUUCAAAGCAGGCUAUCGCUUGAAUACAUGAGCAUGGAAUAAUGGAAUAGGACUUUGGUCCUAUUUUGCUGGUUUCUAGGACCGAAGUAAUGAUUAAGAGGGACAAUUGGGGGCAUCCGUAUUUCGUUGUCAGAGGUGAAAUUCUUGGAUUUACGAAAGACGAACAACUGCGAAAGCACUUGCCAAGAGUGUUUUCAUUAA
Molecule: ribosomal RNA, 378 nt
Filed under: uncultured eukaryote
Lineage: Eukaryota
Description: partial 18S ribosomal RNA
Rfam family: Eukaryotic small subunit ribosomal RNA
Source: RNAcentral